This is a long non-coding RNA of Oxyura jamaicensis (ruddy duck), 149 nucleotides long. RefSeq lists it as uncharacterized. The record is from RefSeq and is a predicted model, not a curated record. The transcript is spliced from 3 exons. NCBI's taxonomy places the organism in Eukaryota, Metazoa, Chordata, Aves, Anseriformes, Anatidae.
GCCUGGAUUCACCAUUCUCGAGUGAGGAAAGCUCCAGAAGCCCCCUGGAAAGUAACGCCGGGUGACGGUGAACUGAAACUGAAGCUUAGUCGAACAAAAUGAGGACAUUACAGUCAGGAGUAUUUAGUAAUAUUGUUGGCAAAAGAUUU